Molecule: transfer RNA, 67 nt
Filed under: Marmota monax (woodchuck)
Lineage: Eukaryota; Metazoa; Chordata; Mammalia; Rodentia; Sciuridae
Description: tRNA.Thr
Source: RNAcentral
GGUUGUGGCUCAGUGGUAGAGCACUUGCCUUGUACAUGUGAGGCACUGGGUUUGAUCCUCAGCACCA